AGUACAGUGGGAUGGGAUCGUGAACGUGGGGCCUGCAGCACCUGCGGGGCGUGCAACGGUGCCCACAAGGAGCAUUCUUGGCUGGGCGGUGCCCCUCGCCCCCCUCCCAGGCCCUCCAGAGCCAGGCUCAGCCCCCACACCGUGGCCCCUGCACAUGAAGCAGACUGGACUUCCCUGGCCUCUGUGCCUGAGGUUCCCCGAGGCCCUGCUAACCCCCCUCCACCUGCCCGGUCCUCUCUGCGGCCCCCUGCCUUGUCCAGAGCCCUCCUCCUCCUCACCCCCUCCGCGCGGCUCCCCCACUCUGCCCCCACCUGCCUUCCCGUCCUGUCUGGAGCCCACAGCAGCGCUCCUCAGUUCAGUGCCGUCCGUGUGCACCUCCCAACCAGCUGGGGGCUGGCACUGCCGCCCGGGAGGGGGUUUCAGUGGAGCCGCGGGGCCCCCAGACAAACGCCCUCUGUAUCUCCGGCCUCCUGGGAGUGGCCGCGGGCCAGCCCUCGCCGCCAGCCGCUUGAACGGUGCGGAUUGUUUCCCGCCUCCUGUCCCCUCGCCUGCCAGGCCGGGCUGGGCAGGAAAGGGGAGGGGCGCUCCUUCUGGAAUGGAAGGUGUGGGAGGCCAGCGAGCCGCUGGGGAGGGGGCGGGGUGCUGACCGCAUGGAGGCCGGAGGCCGUGCAGGCCCCAGCGGGGAGGCGAGGGCGCAGGCGAGGGCGGCCCCGGGCUCCUGCUGCUCCUGAGAGCGCACGGCAGCCCAGACAGAGCCGGCGACCUGCCCAAGGUCGCUCAGCAAGCCAGUCGCAGCGGCGAGACUGGCCCCAGCCCAGGGUUCUGGCCCCAACGCCAGGCCCCUCCGCUGGGGUUUGCGUGGGGAGCUGCUUAACGAAGGAGUGGCGCAAACCGCAGAUGGGCACGCGGGGGCGCAGGGAGCGCAGGGAGCGCUGGCGCGUUCACGCGGGGGCUCAGGAGCCAGCGGGAGCCCGCGCGGGACCAGCUCCGCCGGGGGCUCCGCAGGGGCGCUCUCACCUCGGUCGUCAGAAGAAGAAAACCGAAUGCGGAGCCGCCCGGAAGCGCGGCGACCCAGGAGGCUGCGGGCGCUCGCUGGGGUCCUGCGCUGCCGCCCCACUGCCUUUCCUCGUGGUCGCCUUGUCGCCGGGUGCAGGGCUCGUCUCCAGGCUUUCUGAGUUGUCUUCUGCCCUCUGUCCUGUCUCUGCUGUCAGCGCCACCUUCGGUCCACCUGUUGUUUGCGGGUCUUUCAUCAUGUCUGAGGCCUUCCUCUCAACGGUCUCUUGAUGAGACGUGGAAGUAGGUUGCUAUUUAAAAGUAAGGGGGUCAAGUGUGUGGCAUAGUGGUUAAGACUCCGUUUGGGGGGCUGGCAUGUUGCAUAGUGGGUAAAGCUGCUGCCUGUGGUGCCAGCAUCCCAUACGGCGCUGGUUCGAGUCCUGGCUGCUCCACUUCUGAUCCAGCUCUCUGUUAUGGCCUGGGAAAGCAGUAGAAGAUGGCUGAAGUCUUUGGGCCCCUGCACCUGCAUGGGAAACCUGGCUUCAGAUCGCUCCGGUUGUUACAGCCAUUUGGGGAGUGAACCAAUGGAUGGACGUUCUCUCUCUCUCUGCCUCUGCCUCUCUGUAACUCUGCCUUUCAAAUAAAUAAAUAAAUAAAUCUUUUUUAAAAAAAAAU
RNAcentral lists this long non-coding RNA (1668 nucleotides) under Oryctolagus cuniculus (rabbit). RNAcentral describes it as "lncRNA (ENSOCUG00000036665.1)". Lineage: Eukaryota; Metazoa; Chordata; Mammalia; Lagomorpha; Leporidae. The record is from RNAcentral.